AGCGAACGCUGGCGGCAGGCCUAACACAUGCAAGUCGAACGAACUCUUCGGAGUUAGUGGCGGACGUGUGAGGAACACGUGGGAACGUGCCUUUUGGUUCGGAAUACCUCAGGGAAACUUGUGCUAAUACCGAAUGUGCCCUUCGGGGGAAAGAUUUAUCGCCAUUGGAGCGGCGCGCGUCUGAUUAGCUAGUUGGUGAGGUAACGGCUCACCAAGGCGACGUUCAGUAGCUGGUCUGAGAGGAUGACCAGCCACGCUGGAACUGAGGCACGGCCCAGACUCCUAGGGGAGGGAGGAGAGGGGAAUCUUGCGGGAUGGGCGCAAGCGUGACGAAGCCAUGCCGCGUGAAUGAUGAAGGUCUUAGGAUUGUACAAUUCUUUGUGCGGGGGCGAUAGUGACGGUACCCGGAAAAGAAGCCCCGGCUAACUUCGUG
This 433-nucleotide ribosomal RNA is filed under the name uncultured bacterium. Its description in RNAcentral is "partial 16S ribosomal RNA". It matches the Rfam family "Bacterial small subunit ribosomal RNA", at positions 29 to 507 of the family's 1533-position model. The record is from RNAcentral.